RNAcentral lists this ribosomal RNA (811 nucleotides) under uncultured bacterium. RNAcentral describes it as "bacterial SSU rRNA". It matches the Rfam family "Bacterial small subunit ribosomal RNA", at positions 561 to 1372 of the family's 1533-position model. The record is from RNAcentral.
GUAAGGGCAUGUAGGCGGUCUGUUAGUCUGGUGUGAAAGAGGGGUAGGCCGCGGAAGUGCAUCAGAUACUGGCCGACUUGAGUAUGGGAGAGGAAAGUGGAAUUCCGAGUGUAGGAGUGAAAUCCGUAGAUAUUCGGAGGAACACCAGUGGCGAAGGCGGCUUUCUGGACCAAUACUGACGCUGAGAUGCGAAAGCGUGGGGAGCGAACAGGAUUAGAUACCCUGGUAGUCCACGCCGUAAACGAUGGGUACUAGAUGUUGCGGGUAAUCACUCCUGCAGUGUCGCAGCUAACGCAUUAAGUACCCCGCCUGGGGAUUACGGCCGCAAGGCUAAAACUCAAAAGAAUUGACGGGGGCCCGCACAAGCGGUGGAGCAUGUGGUUUAAUUCGACGCAACGCGAAGAACCUUACCUGGGCUUGACAUCCCGAUCGUACUCUAUGGAAAGAUAGAGGUCAGCUUGGCUGGAUCGGUGACAGGUGCUGCAUGGCUGUCGUCAGCUCGUGUCGUGAGAUGUUGGGUUAAGUCCCGCAACGAGCGCAACCCUUGUCCUUAGUUGCCAUCAUUAAGUUGGGCACUCUAGGGAAACUGCCGGUGUUAAACCGGAGGAAGGUGGGGAUGACGUCAAGUCCUCAUGGCCCUUAUGCCCAGGGCUACACACGUGCUACAAUGGCCGGUACAAAGGGCAGCGAUACCGCAAGGUGGAGCAAAUCCCAAAAAGCCGGUCUCAGUUCGGAUUGGAGUCUGCAAACUCGACUCCAUGAAGUUGGAAUCGCUAGUAAUCGCGUAUCAGCAUGACGCGGUGAAUACGUU